This 468-nucleotide ribosomal RNA is filed under the name uncultured bacterium. Its description in RNAcentral is "partial 16S ribosomal RNA". It matches the Rfam family "Bacterial small subunit ribosomal RNA", at positions 28 to 507 of the family's 1533-position model. The record is from RNAcentral.
GACGAACGCUGGCGGCGUGCUUAACACAUGCAAGUCGAACGGAAAGGCACUGCCUUUGUGGGGUGCUCGAGUGGCGAACGGGUGAGUAACACGUGAGUAACCUGCCCUUGACUCUGGGAUAACUUCAGGAAACUGCGGCUAAUACCGGAUAGGAGCUCCUGCUGCAUGGUGGGGGUUGGAAAGUUUCGUCGGUUGGGGAUGGACUCGCGGCUUAUCAGCUUGUUGGUGGGGUAGUGGCUCACCAAGGCUUUGACGGGUAGCCGGCCUGAGAGGGUGACCGGCCACACUGGGACUGAGAUACGGCCCAGACUCCUACGGGAGGCAGCAGUGGGGAAUAUUGCACAAUGGGCGGAAGCCUGAUGCAGCAACGCCGCGUGCGGGAUGACGGCCUUCGGGUUGUAAACCUCUUUCGCCUGUGACGAAGCGUGAGUGACGGUAAUGGGUAAAGAAGCACCGGCUAACUACGUG